CGAAGGUGGGGCUGAUGACUGGGGUGAAGUCGUAACAAGGUAGCCGUACCGGAAGGUGCGGCUGGAUCACCUCCUAACAGGGAGACAAAACUGAUUUUGAUGUCUAGGUUAAUUAUUCUUAGGCCAUAAUCCUGUCACCUUAGGUCGAUCGGUACCUCAGAUUGAGGUUUAAAUGAAAAUUUAGAUCUUUAAUUUCAGUUCCUAAACUUGUCUAGGUCACACCCAACAAGGGUUUCUCCUGGGCCAUUAGCUCAGGUGGUUAGAGCGCACCCCUGAUAAGGGUGAGGUCCCUGGUUCAAGUCCAGGAUGGCCCAUUCGUUGUUGGGGGUAUAGCUCAGUUGGUAGAGCGCCUGCUUUGCAAGCAGGAUGUCAGCGGUUCGAGUCCGCUUACCUCCACUGAACCCUCCUGAUAACCCAAUUUUUGGAGACUCUUUUGUUAUAUGUGAUCAAGACAACGUCUAGCUGAAUUUAGAACUUAGCUUCCUAUCAUCAGAAUAAAUCGUUGAUAAGAUGCUGAGCUCACUGGAAUUUUAUCCAUUGAAUUCAGUAGAACCUUGACAACUGCAUAGUUAAGUCUGGAAAAAAAUAAAGCAUCUCAUGGAUGCAUAGUUUUUCAGUUAAAAGUGAUUCUAUUCUUUAUCUAGAGUAGGUCUACUUUUACAUGAAAAAUUCAUGUUUAAUUCUUGAGUAAAAAGCCGAGCUCUAUCAAUAAUUGAUGGAGUAAUAGUAUUUAAGGUCAAGCUACAAAGAGCUC
This 754-nucleotide unclassified non-coding RNA is filed under the name uncultured Prochlorococcus sp. Its description in RNAcentral is "partial may contain 16S ribosomal RNA, 16S-23S ribosomal RNA intergenic spacer, and 23S ribosomal RNA". The stretch from base 324 to 396 matches the Rfam family "tRNA". The record is from RNAcentral. Lineage: Bacteria; Bacillati; Cyanobacteriota; Cyanophyceae; Synechococcales; Prochlorococcaceae.